This 254-nucleotide ribosomal RNA is filed under the name uncultured bacterium. RNAcentral's name for it is "partial 16S ribosomal RNA". It matches the Rfam family "Bacterial small subunit ribosomal RNA", at positions 524 to 776 of the family's 1533-position model. The record is from RNAcentral.
UACGAAGGGUGCAAGCGUUGCUCGGAAUUAUUGGGCGUAAAGGGCAGGUAGGUGGUCUGAUUUGUCUAUAGGUGAAAUCCCUGGGCUUAACCCAGGACGUGCCUUAGAAACGGUCGGACUAGAGUUCUAGAGAGGGUCGUGGAAUUCCCGGUGUAGCGGUGAAAUGCGUAGAGAUCGGGAGGAACACCUGUGGCGAAGGCGGCGACCUGGAUAGAGACUGACACUCAACUGCGAAAGCGUGGGGAGCAAACAGG